GUGGGGAGAGAGAAACAGAGAGGAGAGAGACAGAGAUAAACAGAAGGAGGAGAGAGAAACAGAGAGGAGAGAGACAGAGAUAAACAGAGUGGGGAGAGAGAAACAGAGAGGAGAGAGACAGAGAUAAACAGAGAGGAGAGAGACAGAGAUAAACAGAGUGGGGAGAGAGAAACAGAGAGGAGAGAGACAGAGAUAAACAGAGAGGGGAGAGAGAAACAGAGAGGAGAGAGACAGAGAUAAACAGAGAGGGGAGAGAGAAACAGAGAGGAGAGAGAGAGAGAUAAACAGAGAGGAGAGAGAGAGAUAAACAGAGAGGAGAGAGACAGAGAAACAGAGAGGAGAGAGAAACAGAGAGGAGAGAGAAACAGAGAGGAGA
Long non-coding RNA from Oncorhynchus tshawytscha (Chinook salmon), 376 nucleotides. The record is from Ensembl. Lineage: Eukaryota; Metazoa; Chordata; Actinopteri; Salmoniformes; Salmonidae.